UACAGCAGACUUGGAGCCUGGUCCACAAUUACAGUGGAAGACCUGAUAGGAAGAAACUAAGACGAUUGAGUCAUUGGCAUGUGAGAUCAAUAUACCUGCAUGGUAGUCAUAGGUUCUGACGGAAAUGACUGCAUUAUGCUGUCAUGUGUUACCGUCAGGACUCGACUGGUGUGCGGAUACU
This is a small nucleolar RNA of Chionomys nivalis (European snow vole), 181 nucleotides long. RefSeq annotates it as small nucleolar RNA SNORA53. The record is from RefSeq and is a predicted model, not a curated record. The transcript has a single exon. NCBI's taxonomy places the organism in Eukaryota, Metazoa, Chordata, Mammalia, Rodentia, Cricetidae.